UGGGGAAUCUUCCGCAAUGGACGAAAGUCUGACGGAGCAACGCCGCGUGAGUGAUGACGGCCUUCGGGUUGUAAAGCUCUGUUAAUCGGGACGAAAGGCCUUCUUGCGAAUAGUUAGAAGGAUUGACGGUACCGGAAUAGAAAGCCACGGCUAACUACGUGCCAGCAGCCGCGGUAAUACGUAGGUGGCAAGCGUUGUCCGGAAUUAUUGGGCGUAAAGCGCGCGCAGGCGGAUUGGUCAGUCUGUCUUAAAAGUUCGGGGCUUAACCCCGUGAUGGGAUGGAAACUGCUGAUCUAGAGUAUCGGAGAGGAAAGUGGAAUUCCUAGUGUAGCGGUGAAAUGCGUAGAUAUUAGGAAGAACACCAGUGGCGAAGGCGACUUUCUGGACGAAAACUGACGCUGAGGCGCGAAAGCCAGGGGAGCGAACGGGAUUAGAUACCCCGGUAGUCCUGGCCGUAAACGAUGGGUACUAGGUGUAGGAGGUAUCGACCCCUUCUGUGCCGGAGUUAACGCAAUAAGUACCCCGCCUGGGGAGUACGACCGCAAGGUUG
Molecule: ribosomal RNA, 550 nt
Filed under: uncultured bacterium
Lineage: Bacteria
Description: bacterial SSU rRNA
Rfam family: Bacterial small subunit ribosomal RNA
Source: RNAcentral